This 1467-nucleotide long non-coding RNA is filed under the name Coturnix japonica (Japanese quail). RNAcentral's name for it is "lncRNA (ENSCJPG00005017707.1)". The record is from RNAcentral. Lineage: Eukaryota; Metazoa; Chordata; Aves; Galliformes; Phasianidae.
GAAUUACAGCGCGGGCUCGGGGCGGCCGUGGGGCUAACAGCCCGGCCGGACGGGCACCUGGAGCAGCAGGACCUGCCUGCCUUCCGCCGGGUGGCACUUGCUGGCGUGCCGCGCCAGCCCGGGCGCGCUGAAGAAGGUGGCGGGGCACUGCUUGCAGGGGAAGCCCUGCCGCUCGUCGCCCGUCGCCCCGCCGCCCUCGGGCCGCCCGGGCGGCGGCGGCGGCAGCAGCAGCUCGUCCCGCACGGCGUGCCACAGCCGGUGCUUGUCCCUGAUGUCCGCCGAGGGGAAGCGGGCGCCGCACAGGUGGCAGCCGAAGGAGAGCUGCCCGCGCUCGGGCGGCCCGAGGGGGGCGGGCCGCGGGGCGCCGUGCGUGCCCAGGUGCUUGCGGAGGUAGGCCUGGCGCCGGAACCGCUUCUGGCAGCACGGGCACGAGAACGACUCCGCGCCGGGGGCCGCCGCGCCGCUGUCCGCGCCGCCGAGGUGCUGACGGGGCGCCGGGGGCUGCGGGGCGGCGCGGGGCCGCCGCUCGGGGCUGUUCUCCUUGCCCGGCGGAGCGGAGGCGGCGGCGGCGGCGGGACCCUCGGCGCUGGGGCCGGGCCGCGGCUUGUGCCAGCGGCGGUGCGAGGCCAGGUUGGCGGGGCAGCUGAAGAUCUUGUGGCACUCGGGGCAGCGGUACUCGACGCGCACGAUGCGGGAGCAGCGGUGCUGGGCCAGCGCCAGCGGGUCGGCGUAGCGCUCCUUGCACAGCUGGCAGAUGAACUCGCCCAGCGGCGUGCGGCCACCCGGCGGCUCCGCGCCCGGCCGCCCCUCGGGACCCUCCUCCUUGAUGCGCAGCCCCAGCACGGGCGAGGUGGUCACCUCGUCGGCGAAGCUCAGCUUCCGCGUGGCCUUCGCCUUCUUGGCCGGCGCCUUGGCCCGCGACGGCCGCUUCAGCGCGGGGACGGGCGGCGGCGGGGGCGCGGGCAGCGGCGUGCGGGGCGGCGGCGGCGGCUUCUCGGGCGGCGGGAAGGCGGCGGCCAGCGGGAAGGACUCGGCGGAGGCGGGGGAGCUCAGGCACCGCUCGAAGAACGCCGCCCGCGGCCCCGCCGCGCCGCACGGCCCCCAGCCGCCGCACGGACCCUCCGGAUGACCGAGCCCGGCGCCCCCGGCCCACGUCGCGGCGGCGGGCGCGGGCGCGGGGCGGGCGGCGGCAGCGUUGCCCCCCUCCUCCUCGCCCUCCUCCUCCUCCUCCGCCCCCGGCCUAGCGGCGGGGCCGCCCUCGGAUGCGGCGGGCGGCGGUGGGGGCGGCGGGUCCCGCUCCCGGGGGCGCGCCCGGUAGGAGCCGCCGGGACGCCGGCUGCGCUUGACGAGGAAGCCGCGCGGCAUGGCGAGGUGGAGGACGGCGGGAACGGAGCCCUCGCUGCUUUAUACCCCCGGCGCCCGCUCCCGCCCGGCCGUCAUCCUCCCUCCGGCGUCGGCGGCCAAUGA